AGAACACGCAAACCUUUUUGUGACACCCUCAUAUCUCAUGGCCAUCUUGUCAACCCAAACAACAGCUGGUCGUUUACAUCUUUCAUUUUAUGCAGAUUUAUUGCAUGCCCACUGAGUGUUGAUGUGCUCAGUGCUGGGGAUCCUGAGACCAAUAAGACACAUUAUUUGACUGCUGGAACUUACCAUCUAGUUGGGAAAGACAUGAAGAAAUUUAGGAUGACAGAAGGGAUCUUCGUAUUUAGAAUAAUAGACAGACUGAAGAGGACUUCAACCUACGGGCAAGGAAUCCACGAAGCAGCAUCCAGCAGGGUAUUGAUACAGCCAGACUUGCAGCAAGAUGGAGAAUAAAUUGAUAGUAAGUGGCUUGCAGGAGGCCUGAGCAUAUGAUAAAACACAGUUAAAAGAGUAUAACUCUUUGAUCUAGCUUUUAUAAACUCAGGCAGAGCAUAAGAAUUCCAGACAGAUUAAGAGAAAAAAGCCCUGGGCUGAGAGAGG
RNAcentral lists this long non-coding RNA (495 nucleotides) under Pan troglodytes (chimpanzee). RNAcentral describes it as "lncRNA (ENSPTRG00000053303.1)". Lineage: Eukaryota; Metazoa; Chordata; Mammalia; Primates; Hominidae. The record is from RNAcentral.